This 551-nucleotide ribosomal RNA is filed under the name uncultured bacterium. RNAcentral's name for it is "bacterial SSU rRNA". It matches the Rfam family "Bacterial small subunit ribosomal RNA", at positions 355 to 896 of the family's 1533-position model. The record is from RNAcentral.
UAGGGAAUCUUCGGCAAUGGACGGAAGUCUGACCGAGCAACGCCGCGUGAGUGAAGAAGGUUUUCGGAUCGUAAAGCUCUGUUGUAAGAGAAGAACGAGUGUGAGAGUGGAAAGUUCACACUGUGACGGUAUCUUACCAGAAAGGGACGGCUAACUACGUGCCAGCAGCCGCGGUAAUACGUAGGUCCCGAGCGUUGUCCGGAUUUAUUGGGCGUAAAGCGAGCGCAGGCGGUUAGAUAAGUCUGAAGUUAAAGGCUGUGGCUUAACCAUAGUAGGCUUUGGAAACUGUUUAACUUGAGUGCAAGAGGGGAGAGUGGAAUUCCAUGUGUAGCGGUGAAAUGCGUAGAUAUAUGGAGGAACACCGGUGGCGAAAGCGGCUCUCUGGCUUGUAACUGACGCUGAGGCUCGAAAGCGUGGGGAGCAGACAGGAUUAGAUACCCUGGUAGUCCACGCUGUAAACGAUGAGUGCUAGGUGUUAGACCCUUUCCGGGGUUUAGUGCCGUAGCUAACGCAUUAAGCACUCCGCCUGGGGAGUACGACNCGCAAGGUUG